AAAUUGAAGAGUUUGAUCAUGGCUCAGAUUGAACGCUGGCGGCAGGCCUAACACAUGCAAGUCGAACGGUAACAGGAAACAGCUUGCUGUUUCGCUGACGAGUGGCGGACGGGUGAGUAAUGUCUGGGAAACUGCCUGAUGGAGGGGGAUAACUACUGGAAACGGUAGCUAAUACCGCAUAACGUCGCAAGACCAAAGAGGGGGACCUUCGGGCCUCUUGCCAUCGGAUGUGCCCAGAUGGGAUUAGCUAGUAGGUGGGGUAACGGCUCACCUAGGCGACGAUCCCUAGCUGGUCUGAGAGGAUGACCAGCCACACUGGAACUGAGACACGGUCCAGACUCCUACGGGAGGCAGCAGUGGGGAAUAUUGCACAAUGGGCGCAAGCCUGAUGCAGCCAUGCCGCGUGUAUGAAGAAGGCCUUCGGGUUGUAAAGUACUUUCAGCGGGGAGGAAGGGAGUAAAGUUAAUACCUUUGCUCAUUGACGUUACCCGCAGAAGAAGCACCGGCUAACUCCGUGCCAGCAGCCGCGGUAAUACGGAGGGUGCAAGCGUUAAUCGGAAUUACUGGGCGUAAAGCGCACGCAGGCGGUUUGUUAAGUCAGAUGUGAAAUCCCCGGGCUCAACCUGGGAACUGCAUCUGAUACUGGCAAGCUUGAGUCUCGUAGAGGGGGGUAGAAUUCCAGGUGUAGCGGUGAAAUGCGUAGAGAUCUGGAGGAAUACCGGUGGCGAAGGCGGCCCCCUGGACGAAGACUGACGCUCAGGUGCGAAAGCGUGGGGAGCAAACAGGAUUAGAUACCCUGGUAGUCCACGCCGUAAACGAUGUCGACUUGGAGGUUGUGCCCUUGAGGCGUGGCUUCCGGAGCUAACGCGUUAAGUCGACCGCCUGGGGAGUACGGCCGCAAGGUUAAAACUCAAAUGAAUUGACGGGGGCCCGCACAAGCGGUGGAGCAUGUGGUUUAAUUCGAUGCAACGCGAAGAACCUUACCUGGUCUUGACAUCCACAGAACUUUCCAGAGAUGGAUUGGUGCCUUCGGGAACUGUGAGACAGGUGCUGCAUGGCUGUCGUCAGCUCGUGUUGUGAAAUGUUGGGUUAAGUCCCGCAACGAGCGCAACCCUUAUCCUUUGUUGCCAGCGGUCCGGCCGGGAACUCAAAGGAGACUGCCAGUGAUAAACUGGAGGAAGGUGGGGAUGACGUCAAGUCAUCAUGGCCCUUACGACCAGGGCUACACACGUGCUACAAUGGCGCAUACAAAGAGAAGCGACCUCGCGAGAGCAAGCGGACCUCAUAAAGUGCGUCGUAGUCCGGAUUGAGUCUCGCAACUCGACUCCAUGAAGUCGGAAUCGCUAGUAAUCGUGGAUCAGAAUGCCACGGUGAAUACGUUCCCGGGCCUUGUACACACCGCCCGUCACACCAUGGGAGUGGGUUGCAAAAGAAGUAGGUAGCUUAACCUUCGGGAGGGCGCUUACCACUUUGUGAUUCAUGACUGGGGUGAAGUCGUAACAAGGUAACCGUAGGGGAACCUGCGGUUGGAUCACCUCCUUACCUUAAAGAAGC
This 1554-nucleotide ribosomal RNA is filed under the name Escherichia coli. Its description in RNAcentral is "bacterial SSU rRNA". It matches the Rfam family "Bacterial small subunit ribosomal RNA". Lineage: Bacteria; Pseudomonadati; Pseudomonadota; Gammaproteobacteria; Enterobacterales; Enterobacteriaceae. The record is from RNAcentral.